UACGUAGGGUGCGAGCGUUGUCCGGAAUUAUUGGGCGUAAAGAGCUCGUAGGCGGUUUGUUGCGUCGGCCGUGAAAACCUGCAGCUUAACUGUGGGCCUGCGGCCGAUACGGGCAGACUUGAGUUCGGUAGGGGAGACUGGAAUUCCUGGUGUAGCGGUGGAAUGCGCAGAUAUCAGGAGGAACACCGGUGGCGAAGGCGGGUCUCUGGGCAGUAACUGACGCUGAGGAGCGAAAGCGUGGGGAGCGAACAGG
This 253-nucleotide ribosomal RNA is filed under the name uncultured bacterium. Its description in RNAcentral is "partial 16S ribosomal RNA". It matches the Rfam family "Bacterial small subunit ribosomal RNA", at positions 524 to 776 of the family's 1533-position model. The record is from RNAcentral.